Molecule: long non-coding RNA, 428 nt
Filed under: Chrysemys picta bellii (western painted turtle)
Lineage: Eukaryota; Metazoa; Chordata; Testudines; Emydidae
Description: lncRNA (ENSCPBG00000024761.1)
Source: RNAcentral
GCAAAAAAAAAAAAAAGAAAGAGAGAGAGAGAGAGAGAAAGACUUGAUCUGACUCGUCUUUGAAGUCACUAGGAAGACCCAGCUUGAUUUCAAAGGAAGCUGGAGCAGGCUCUUGGUCAAGGCCUACAGUGUCACCUUUCUGCAGAGUGCUGCAAGCAACAGCAGUAACUAAGCAAGCCUUGAAAAACACGGAGUAUGUGAAGUAUCCACUGCAAGCUACCUGCUUGCUUACUGGAAGUGUUGGACAACUGGCCUGCUUCUGGGGGUGUUUAAGAAGAAUCCUUCUCUAUCCCACCACAAACUCAGAAUCUCCGUGCACAAGGAGAUCAAUACAUGCAGAUGGGAAUUUUCACCAUGGAUUCAGCACUGUAUCCCCCAGAUGUCACAUGAGAAUCAUGUUGCUCCGUGCAAUUACGGUAAGUGCUUUA